CCAGCCGGGGGUGCUCCCCUCGUUCCCCCCCGGGCUGGACAAGAAGGCGGCGAAGAAGAUGAAGAAGAGGAUGAAGAAGGCUCACAAGAGGCACAAGCGCUCUUCGUCGUCGUCCUCCUCCUCCUCCAGCAGCUCCGACUGAGGCUCCUGGGACCCCCCAGGACCCCCAGAACCACCUGGGACCCCGCAGAACCUCCUGGAACCCCUGGGACCACCAGGAGCCACCUGGGACCUCUUGGGACCCCUGUGACCACCCCAGGACCCCCAUCCUGUCCCCGUGUCCCCCAUCCCCUGUUCCCGGGGGGUUCCGGAGUGUCCCCGCUGUCCCCCAAUAAAGCUCUGGGACACCCCAA
Long non-coding RNA from Onychostruthus taczanowskii (white-rumped snowfinch), 353 nucleotides. RefSeq lists it as uncharacterized. The transcript has 2 exons. NCBI's taxonomy places the organism in Eukaryota, Metazoa, Chordata, Aves, Passeriformes, Passeridae. The record is from RefSeq and is a predicted model, not a curated record.